Molecule: ribosomal RNA, 432 nt
Filed under: uncultured bacterium
Lineage: Bacteria
Description: partial 16S ribosomal RNA
Rfam family: Bacterial small subunit ribosomal RNA
Source: RNAcentral
AACGAACGCUGGCGGCAGGCCUAACACAUGCAAGUCGAGCGAGGACUUCGGUUCUAGCGGCGGACGGGUGAGUAACGCGUGGGAAUGUGCCCUUCUCUACGGAAUAGCCCUGGGAAACUGGGAGUAAUACCGUAUACGCCCUAUUGGGGAAAGAUUUAUCGGAGAAGGAUCAGCCCGCGUUGGAUUAGGUAGUUGGUGGGGUAAUGGCCUACCAAGCCGACGAUCCAUAGCUGGUUUGAGAGGAUGAUCAGCCACACUGGGACUGAGACACGGCCCAGACUCCUACGGGAGGCAGCAGUGGGGAAUCUUAGACAAUGGGGGCAACCCUGAUCUAGCCAUGCCGCGUGAGUGAUGAAGGCCUUAGGGUGGUAAAGCUCUUUCAGCUGGGAAGAUAAUGACGGUACCAGCAGAAGAAGCCCCGGCUAACUCCGU